UAGGGAAUUUUCGUCAAUGGGCGCAAGCCUGAACGAGCGAUGCCGCGUGAGUGAAGAAGGCCUUCGGGUCGUAAAGCUCUGUUGCGGGGGAAAAAAGGCAGCAUCAGGAAAUGGGUGCUGACUGAUGGUGCCCCGCCAGAAAGUCACGGCUAACUACGUGCCAGCAGCCGCGGUAAUACGUAGGUGGCAAGCGUUAUCCGGAAUGAUUGGGCGUAAAGGGUGCGCAGGCGGUCCUGCAAGUCUGGAGUGAAACGCAUGAGCUCAACUCAUGCAUGGCUUUGGAAACUGGAGGACUGGAGAGCAGGAGAGGGCGGUGGAACUCCAUGUGUAGCGGUAAAAUGCGUAGAUAUAUGGAAGAACACCAGUGGCGAAGGCGGCCGCCUGGCCUGUUGCUGACGCUGAGGCACGAAAGCGUGGGGAGCAAAUAGG
Molecule: ribosomal RNA, 429 nt
Filed under: bacterium
Lineage: Bacteria
Description: partial 16S ribosomal RNA
Rfam family: Bacterial small subunit ribosomal RNA
Source: RNAcentral